AUGUGUGUUAGAUUGGGAGUUGUGGUCUCUUGAAGAGACACACACGCAGCAAAUUUUCUCACCUUUCAAGUCAGCAUCGAUUUCAAGUCAUACUUGGUUUCAAAUCAACACUUAUACAUCUCUUAAGGGGCCAUCAAUUUAACAAGUUUUGCGUAUUUGAAAUUGCCAAACGAUCACUUAAACAAUGAACACAUUCGUAAAACUUAUAAACACGUUAAAAGCUGUUAGAAGUUCUGUAAAGUAGUUCCAUAUUUAUAAAGAAAUGAUUAUAUCAAGAAAUAAUUGAAAGGAAUCCUCCAUUUUAAAUUUGUAUCCCAACAUAAUCGUAAAUUUUAGUUCAAACACAGCAUAGUAAGAAAUAUAUGAAUGACGCAUACUUUGAUUGCUAAUCAUGCUUAUUUAAUAUCUCUAUUCAAAGUUCAAACAUUUAUGUUGAAUUUAAAAGUGGUGGUUUAACCUAUAUCAGGAAUAACCUAGAGAAGAGUGGCGGUCCCUAAAGAGGUUAUAAAAGUGAUAUCUGCCUUAAUUGGAAAAAGAAGUCACCCGUAAUCUCUAGCGUAUUAAAAACGAGAUCGUACACAAUAAUCUCUACUGAUUUCAAUCAUAGUUAUCGAUAGCGAAUAGUGACAAAUAGAAGUUAAAAAUUAAAGAAAUAAAAAAUAGCUAUCUACAUAACUUUUUUUAUAUAUAUCGUUAGUUUUAUACCUUUUAUGUAUA
RNAcentral lists this long non-coding RNA (717 nucleotides) under Helianthus annuus (common sunflower). RNAcentral describes it as "hypothetical non coding rna". The record is from RNAcentral. Lineage: Eukaryota; Viridiplantae; Streptophyta; Magnoliopsida; Asterales; Asteraceae.